Molecule: transfer RNA, 74 nt
Filed under: Bacillota bacterium
Lineage: Bacteria; Bacillati; Bacillota
Description: tRNA-Gln
Rfam family: tRNA
About the family: Transfer RNA (tRNA) molecules are approximately 80 nucleotides in length. Their secondary structure includes four short double-helical elements and three loops (D, anti-codon, and T loops).
Source: RNAcentral
GCGGGCGUAGCUCAAUUGGUUAGAGCAACUGACUCUGGAUCAGUGGGUUGUAGGUUCGAAUCCUGCCGUCUGCG